GAAAGGCUGACCCAGGGCUCCAGGGCCCCAGUUGGCCCCCAGGGGAGUGCCCCAAGUUAGGAGGCAACUGCAGGUGGGGAGGGGCUGGACAGGCUGCUUCUGUUCCUUAAGGGAUGGGCCUCAGCUAAGCAGCGUUUCUGGAGCUGGCAGGUUGCUCCGAUGCCCCUGGGCCCUGGCACCUGACUGAGUUGAGUAUGACAUCCUGUCCUCUCUGAGCUGGUCCUGCUGGGAGCCGAGCCAUCCUGGGACCAGCUCCCACAUGCACACGCCCACACCUACACACAGGGCAGUGGGGAAGGG
Molecule: long non-coding RNA, 300 nt
Filed under: Homo sapiens (human)
Lineage: Eukaryota; Metazoa; Chordata; Mammalia; Primates; Hominidae
Description: HSALNT0216850
Source: RNAcentral